This 211-nucleotide unclassified non-coding RNA is filed under the name plant metagenome. RNAcentral describes it as "partial contains small subunit ribosomal RNA and internal transcribed spacer 1". The stretch from base 1 to 46 matches the Rfam family "Eukaryotic small subunit ribosomal RNA", at positions 1786 to 1831 of the family's 1831-position model. The record is from RNAcentral.
AAGUCGUAACAAGGUUUCCGUAGGUGAACCUGCGGAAGGAUCAUUAAAGAUUCGACCUUCGGGUCUAUCUUAUCUUCAGCUGUGCGCUUUUGCUGCACGCUGUUGAACCUCACACACCUGUGCACACUUCGGUUGCGGUUAGUUAACUCUAGCUGCUCCCGCUUUUACAUUUAACUACUAAGUCUUGAAUGUCAAUACAAUAAAAUAACAA